GAACGGGUGAGUAACACGUGGGUAAUCUGCCCUUCACUCUGGGACAAGCCCUGGAAACGGGGUCUAAUACCGGAUAUCACUCUCACGGGCAUCUGUGAGGGUUGAAAGCUCCGGCGGUGAAGGAUGAGCCCGCGGCCUAUCAGCUUGUUGGUGAGGUAACGGCUCACCAAGGCGACGACGGGUAGCCGGCCUGAGAGGGCGACCGGCCACACUGGGACUGAGACACGGCCCAGACUCCUACGGGAGGCAGCAGUGGGGAAUAUUGCACAAUGGGCGCAAGCCUGAUGCAGCGACGCCGCGUGAGGGAUGACGGCCUUCGGGUUGUAAACCUCUUUCAGCAGGGAAGAAGCGAAAGUGACGGUACCUGCAGAAGAAGCGCCGGCUAACUACGUGCCAGCAGCCGCGGUAAUACGUAGGGCGCAAGCGUUGUCCGGAAUUAUUGGGCGUAAAGAGCUCGUAGGCGGCUUGUCACGUCGGGUGUGAAAGCCCGGGGCUUAACCCCGGGUCUGCAUUCGAUACGGGCAGGCUAGAGUGUGGUAGGGGAGAUCGGAAUUCCUGGUGUAGCGGUGAAAUGCGCAGAUAUCAGGAGGAACACCGGUGGCGAAGGCGGAUCUCUGGGCCAUUACUGACGCUGAGGAGCGAAA
Molecule: ribosomal RNA, 644 nt
Filed under: Streptomyces sp. 5311_4
Lineage: Bacteria; Bacillati; Actinomycetota; Actinomycetes; Kitasatosporales; Streptomycetaceae
Description: bacterial SSU rRNA
Rfam family: Bacterial small subunit ribosomal RNA
Source: RNAcentral